GUCCCACUCCCACUCCAGCCGCCAGACAAACCCUAGCCCCCUUUCCUCGAUCCCCACAGCCAAUCCCCCCUCGCGUCACCAUGGCCUCUGCCCUGGAGCCCCGCGGACGUCUGCUAUAACCCCUCCCUCGUCUCUGUCCGGCCGCCCUCUCGUGUUCCACCACGCAGCCGCCUCUUCCUCCUCUAUUCCCUCCUACCGUGGUUCCGGAUCGGGUGCAGGCCGUCAUAGUGGAGAGCAUGAGCGUCAAGGUCUUAAUAGUGGGGUGGAGCUGCAGGGGAGGUAAGGAUGCCGGACGGAUCUGGUGCCUGUCGGCUGAAGCAGCAGGAGUUGGCAGAGCGACGGAUGCGGACGGGGUCAUCAACAGGGGCUGUAAGAGAAGGAGCUCAAGUUGGUUCACGGUUUGCCUUUGCAUCCUCUCUAUUCCCCUUCCCUCACUCAUGCCUCCCCCUUUUCUCAUGGAUGAGGGCUUCGGCUGCAGGUGCGCCAGGAGGAGUGGAAGGCUGAGGUCGUUUGACGGUCGGACCAGCAGGAGCAAGGAGCCAACGGUGGUCAAUUUCUUGCAUCCCAUCCCGGACUCUAAAAGAUUUCAGUUUGAUAUAGGCUAUAGUUUGACUUUUUGCUUCUUGAAGUGAAUGGUAUAGCACCAUGUUGAUUACAUUAGAUUUGUUGGUCAGGCUUGUCUAAAGUCAAUAAUUUCUUGAUCCAUUUUCAAUUUAAGUAAACCAUCCAGAUAAUCAUGAUUUGUUUGCCCUAUUCAGUGUUUCUGUUGUGCUUUGUUUUUGUUUGAAGAUUUGGGUUGGAAUUGUUGGAUAUCCAAAUGUUUGUGAAUCAUCCUUGAUUAGUUGCUUGCUAAAACAAAGAAUGCGUCCAACAGCACCUCGACCAGGUGUCACAAGAGAACUGAAGUAAAUUUCUCAGCUGCACAUGUAGUCUUAACAUUGCUAGCUAUUGUCCCUAGAAAACAUUUAUAGCUGUUGUAUAAGGAUAUUGUAGUUUAUCUUAGUAGGAAAUAGUGUGAUGUUUUCUCUAUUCAAAUUCUAACAUUUCGAACCUCAAACAGGUGGGUUCGUUUGGGAAGGAUCUUGAGCUGUUAGACUCACCUGGAAUUUUGCCAAUGAGAAUUAGAGACCAGACAGCUGCACUUAAGCUUGCUAAGCUACCCAUUUAUUCCUUCUAUUCGUUGAUUAUAGGAACAACACAUGCGUUCAUCAUACAAACCUGCAGCUUAUGUGCGAUAGGAUGGACUCGACAUAAAAAAAGUUUCUCUUCGGCUGCUCUGAUUUUGAGCCAAGACCCUUGGGAGUUUGUCUGGCCUCAUUGUCGACAGUGUGCAUCAGUUAGUUAUGACCUCAUCUCUUCAGUGAGAUUUUUUCCUCCAUGAAGGUUCCUCCUUACAUUGGGUUUAUUAUCCUAUUACGCGUGCUUGAUUCUACUUGAUAUUUUUGCCAUGGUGGAUUUCCGUAUUGUUCUGCAGGAUAUCCCUGACGAUCACAGGGAACGGUCCAACCAAAAGAAAAUAGUUGUAUCAAGUAAGCGCAAUAAUUUGUUGAUCUUUGCAAGUAAAGAGGAAGAAAUCAUGUUCCUUACUUUGGUGUGUGUGACAUGAAACAUCAUUUCCUAAGUAAACAAAUUAUUUGCUUGCCAUUGAAAACAAAAAUUUGAGCAAAUAUAUAUUUUAUUGUUCAUGAUCUUUCUUUUUUGUCUGUAUCGAAGUUCAUGCUCACUCAAUAUAUAUAAUGUUGUGAUCGUGUCUGAUUUGUGCAUACUUAAUUUUUUUCUUCAGUUCUGCCUUAUUGAUAAAGAAUGCAUCAUCAUAGUAGUUUUUAUUUAAAAUCUGUAUGGGUUGGUGCAUCUGCAUUCAUAGAAUGAUCUUUUCUUUAAUAUAGCAAGACUGAAUAAAAUUAGAUUGUGCGUGAAGUUUAUUAGAGAUAAUGCACCAUGUAUGACUUCAUAAAUAAAGCCAUCAUGUGCAAGAUCAAGUCACACUGAAGUUAAGUUAAAAGGUUACAAAACAAAGCGGUCUGAUAUGGAAUAUACACUAUUUUCAUUUUGAUUAACAUGAAGUCUGCCAUUAACGUACUUUGUUCUUAACAUUUUUUUACCGAAUGCAUGGGAAUGUCACCAAUAUUUUUUCUGAAGCAGUAUCACCCCUUAUAAUUAUCUUUACCGUUUGUCCUUUGAAUUGCAGCCUGCAUUUUUGCAGCCUGCGAAGCGUAAAUGUUGGACUAUUGUUUCUCCCCUGAUGCACAUGUUUCGCCACACAGACGAUAUAGUGUGUGUGUGUGAUCUCUGGAAUUAGUUUUUAGGUUAUUCUGUGUGUUGAGUACUUCUGUAAUUUUCCAUGGGCGUGUUUCAUAUUUUCUGUGUAUUGUCUAUCAUUCUUUCAAGUGUUUAAUGUUUUUUUUGUAGUUUUUGAUAUUUAGUUUCAGUCAUGUUUCAUUUGUCGCAGACCUACACCUAUUAGGAAGCACAUAGUUUCAUUUUGAUCAUGUUUCUUUUAGUUGUUCAGUGUUUGUUAAUUAAUGUAGCAGAGUAAGCAGUACAUUUUGGCCAUUAGUUAAAUCACUCAUGUCACAUUCAGUUGAUUAGGUUCAGUUUUUGUUCCUUCCUUCUUCGUUCCUUCAGUUUUUUGUUCCUUUAUUUAGUCAUUGUGCUUGCAUCAUUUGCCGGUAUUUAAGUCAAUAUAACUAUUUAGUCCAUCUCAAUAGACCCUUAUGAUUCUUGAUAGUUUCUCUCUUUCAUAGAUCAGACUUUUCCGCUUUUUCAGUUAGGCUAAUUUAUGCUUUCUUUUUCAGUUUUCAGUCUUCACUUGAUUUAGUUGGACAUUGUGUUCAGUAUUUCAAUAGUUCAGUAGUUUCAUUGAUUGAUAUGUGCAUUUUCGUACUUAGUGAAGCAUCUUAAUGCAUUUUUGUACUUUGUGAAGCAUCUUAAUUUGAUCGAUAUGUGCAUUCAGUUGAGAACUCUGAAGUCAGAACAACUGUGUUUGACUUCUUCAGAUGGUAAUUUUUAUCGGUUAGACUUAUAGUUACAAUUACUAGAAGUAGCAAAGGUCUGGGUUUGUUUAGAGCUUGAGUUGGUGCUUUUUUGUUUCAGAUCAUAUGUUGGUACUUCAUUUUACUCAGAUCAUAUGAAGGUGAGUGUAAUUGUGUGAUCUGGAUUAGGAUGCAAUGAAAUUCAGAAGUAGUAGAAGUACACUGUUUUUUACUUUCUUUCAGAACGAAUACUAUAGAAGUACACCGCUGCCUGGUAAAUUAUUGCCAUGGCCUCAAUGGCAGAUGUGUACCUGAUAGUGAUAUAUCCUACGAGUACCGGAUGGUUGACAUCCUUACCUGACAGGUAUAGAUUAUACAUAGUAGCCUAGCAGUGCAUGGAAAAACUAGGUUCGGUCUGAAGUCUGAACCCCUGAAGAAGCAAAAGCCAAAAAACAGAGAUCAGACGACUAAAUACAAGAGUGCAUCUUCUCCUUUUUUGUCUUUUUGUUGAGUGGAAUGCAUCUUCUAACCUGGCUGUAGGCUAUAAUCAACUCAAUUUUGUUUUCUCCAUGUGAUAGCCAGGUAGGCGGCUACGUGGUAAAAUAAGCUCAACUUUCUUUUAAUAAAUCUGGAUCAUGUCUUUAGAGUGUAGAGAUGCAACAUCAUAUACGUACAAGGAAUGGUCGACGACCACUUUUACAAUCAUCUUUUUUGUUUGUGAAAUCAGAGCUUCUAUUAUUACAACUGCACGCUCCAGUCAUGCUGAAUACAUGGGAGCAGUACAUACAGUAGAAGGAGAUACAGAUUAAAGCUAUGCUCCUCAUUCAACUUUUGCCACACUCGUUCAGUAAUCAGUACAACUCAUUCUGCUUCAGAAUGGAAGCGUCGAACGGCUAGCAGAACCGAGGCCGCUGGGACACCGUCGCAUUGAGGUAGUGCCAUGGCCGUAGGAGCUGAUGUCGCAUGGGCAGCGCCGCGGCCGCAGGAUCGCUGUUGUGUAGUGCAACAGCCUCCGACUCGGUGUUGCGUGAUGGAAGAGCAGUGGUCAAGUUCGACGGCAUUGAAGCGAGAUGUGAGAUCCCAGCGCUCCAAAUGACGAGUCGUGGCCGGCGGAGGGCUAACAACCGGUGGUGGAGGGUGAUUCUGAGAAAUCAUGAGCUUUUUCCUUCUAUGAGAAGUGAUAAAGUUACAACAUAGUUUGCUCAGUGGUGUGCAUCAGUGCAGAUUGAGCAAGGCACAAUCUAAGAAGAAAAACACAAAAUUAGAAACAGUGUGCAUCAUAUGAAUGUUGGUUGAGCGACGUUGUUGGGAGCCCGGUUGUGGCACAGCCCUUCGGCGUGGUGCCCUCUUGCAUUGCCGCUAUGGUCGCCUUGCGUUGGACGGGAGGAGAUAAGUCAAUCCCCAAUUAAGAUGCACAAUUAAGAUCCCUAACUAAACUGGCAACAUCAUUAUUGAAGGGAAAUGAUUGGAUGACAAACUUUAUAGGUUUAGUAUCAUAUCAUUCAUUUGUGACUGCAUGAUCUUAAUUGUGCAUCUCUGAAUAUUUUAGGCCCUUGCUCUUGGAAGAUUAGACCGAUGUGGUGUUGCUUUAUAAAUAAAUGACAUGUGCGAACUUACCGGUUUGAUUUAGGUGUGUAGGCAGAGGCGAAAAAAGAAUCGCAAUCUCAGGUUUAG
This 4646-nucleotide long non-coding RNA is filed under the name Triticum aestivum (bread wheat). RNAcentral describes it as "long non-coding RNA (TAES_LNC008581)". The record is from RNAcentral. Lineage: Eukaryota; Viridiplantae; Streptophyta; Magnoliopsida; Poales; Poaceae.